Seriola dumerili (greater amberjack) is the source of this 177-nucleotide long non-coding RNA. RefSeq lists it as uncharacterized. The transcript has 3 exons. NCBI's taxonomy places the organism in Eukaryota, Metazoa, Chordata, Actinopteri, Carangiformes, Carangidae. The record is from RefSeq and is a predicted model, not a curated record.
GAUGGGUCCAGUCCUGGCUGUCAUUCUCAUCAUCGUCAUAGUCAUUGCUAUUCUACUCUUCAAGAGCAAACAAGAAAGGAAGCGAACAUCUCCAGCCAAGGAUGAGCACAUGGCAGUUUUCAAGGACUCACUACUGGCCCACUCCUCAGACCCUGUGGAGAUGAGGAGACUCAACUA